This 353-nucleotide ribosomal RNA is filed under the name uncultured Lachnospiraceae bacterium. Its description in RNAcentral is "bacterial SSU rRNA". It matches the Rfam family "Bacterial small subunit ribosomal RNA", at positions 355 to 724 of the family's 1533-position model. The record is from RNAcentral. Lineage: Bacteria; Bacillati; Bacillota; Clostridia; Lachnospirales; Lachnospiraceae.
UGGGGAAUAUUGCACAAUGGGGGGAAACCCUGAUGCAGCGACGCCGCGUGAACGAAGAAGUAUUUCGGUAUGUAAAGUUCUAUCAGCAGGGAAGAUAAUGACGGUACCUGACUAAGAAGCACCGGCUAAAUACGUGCCAGCAGCCGCGGUAAUACGUAUGGUGCAAGCGUUAUCCGGAUUUACUGGGUGUAAAGGGAGCGUAGACGGUUUUGCAAGUCUGAAGUGAAAGCCCGGGGCUUAACCCCGGGACUGCUUUGGAAACUGUAGGACUAGAGUGCAGGAGAGGUAAGUGGAAUUCCUAGUGUAGCGGUGAAAUGCGUAGAUAUUAGGAGGAACACCAGUGGCGAAGGCGG